GUCCUACCGCCUGCGACGUCACGAGAAGUCCACUGAACCUUAUCAUUUAGAGGAAGGAGAAGUCGUAACAAGGUUUCCGUAGGUGAACCUGCGGAAGGAUCAUUGUCGAGAACCGACCGAGAGACCGCGAACCCGUAAACGGAUGACACCGUGUCGGGCGGACAGUUUGCUCUGCCCGCCCUGCUCGGGACCCCGCAUCCUGUCCGCGAUCGCCCCCGGGCGGCCCCGGACACGCUCUGCGGGGGACGGACGAAACCCCGUGGUAAACACCGGCGCCUCGGCGGCGGCGCGGCGCCCGCUCUCUAUCUAUACGACUCUCGGCAACGGAUAUCUCGGCUCUCGCAUCGAUGAAGAACGUAGCGAAAUGCGAUACUUGGUGUGAAUUGCAGAAUCCCGUGAACCAUCGAGUCUUUGAACGCAAGUUGCGCCCGAGGCCUUUCGGUCGAGGGCACGCCUGCCUGGGCGUCACGCCUUGUUUCGCUCCGUUCCCAUGCCCCCUCGGGGGCGGCCACGGAUGCGGAGACUGGCCCUCCGUGCCUCGCGUGCGGCGGGCUUAAGCGCGGGCCGUCGGCGCCGGGAUGGGCACGACGAGUGGUGGACGGAGCACCAGCAGGAUGUCGUGGCCCCCCGUCGCCUUAAGGGGCUCAAGAGACCCGGACCAGGCGAGCCGUGCUCCGUACGAGGAGGGCGUGCCGCCUCCAGGUCAGGCGGUGAGUUUAGGACACCCGCAG
Molecule: ribosomal RNA, 731 nt
Filed under: Fritillaria crassifolia
Lineage: Eukaryota; Viridiplantae; Streptophyta; Magnoliopsida; Liliales; Liliaceae
Description: partial 18S ribosomal RNA
Rfam family: 5.8S ribosomal RNA (bases 313-468)
Source: RNAcentral